AACGAACGCUGGCGGCAGGCCUAACACAUGCAAGUCGAACGCCGUAGCAAUACGGAGUGGCAGACGGGUGAGUAACGCGUGGGAACCUUCCCUAUGGUUCGGAAUAGCUCAGGGAAACCUGGGGUAAUACCGGAUAAGCCCUUCGGGGGAAAGAUUUAUCGCCAUUGGAUGGGCCCGCGUCGGAUUAGCUAGUUGGCGAGGUAACGGCUCACCAAGGCGACGAUCCGUAGCUGGUCUGAGAGGAUGAUCAGCCACACUGGGACUGAGACACGGCCCAGACUCCUACGGGAGGCAGCAGUGGGGAAUAUUGGACAAUGGGCGAAAGCCUGAUCCAGCCAUGCCGCGUGAGUGACGAAGGCCUUAGGGUUGUAAAGCUCUUUUGGCGGGGAAGAUAAUGACGGUACCCGCAGAAUAAGCUCCGGCUAACUUCGUGCCAGCAGCCGCCGUAA
Molecule: ribosomal RNA, 449 nt
Filed under: uncultured bacterium
Lineage: Bacteria
Description: partial 16S ribosomal RNA
Rfam family: Bacterial small subunit ribosomal RNA
Source: RNAcentral